This 497-nucleotide ribosomal RNA is filed under the name uncultured bacterium. RNAcentral's name for it is "partial 16S ribosomal RNA". It matches the Rfam family "Bacterial small subunit ribosomal RNA", at positions 28 to 507 of the family's 1533-position model. The record is from RNAcentral.
GAUGAACGCUGGCGGCGUGCCUAAUACAUGCAAGUCGAGCGAACGGACGAGAAGCUUGCUUCUCUGAUGUUAGCGGCGGACGGGUGAGUAACACGUGGAUAACCUACCUAUAAGACUGGGAUAACUUCGGGAAACCGGAGCUAAUACCGGAUAAUAUUUUGAACCGCAUGGUUCAAAAGUGAAAGACGGUCUUGCUGUCACUUAUAGAUGGAUCCGCGCUGCAUUAGCUAGUUGGUAAGGUAACGGCUUACCAAGGCAACGAUGCAUAGCCGACCUGAGAGGGAGAACGGCCACACUGGAACUGAGACACGGUCCAGACUCCUACGGGAGGCAGCAGUAGGGAAUCUUCCGCAAUGGGCGAAAGCCUGACGGAGCAACGCCGCGUGAGGGAUGAAGGUCUUCGGCUCGUAAAACUCUGUUAGUAGGGAAGAACAUAUGUGUAAGUAACUGUGCACAUCUUGACGGUACCUAAUCAGAAAGCCACGGCUAACUACGUG